This 102-nucleotide ribosomal RNA is filed under the name Bacteroidia bacterium. Lineage: Bacteria; Pseudomonadati; Bacteroidota; Bacteroidia. The record is from RNAcentral.
GGUGGCAAUGGCGGCGGGGUUCCACCCCUUCCCAUACCGAACAGGGCAGUUAAGCCCGCCAACGCCGAUGGUACUGCGAAAGCGGGAGAGUAGGUAGCCGCC